RNAcentral lists this ribosomal RNA (394 nucleotides) under Salmonella enterica subsp. enterica serovar Heidelberg. RNAcentral describes it as "partial 23S ribosomal RNA". It matches the Rfam family "Bacterial large subunit ribosomal RNA", at positions 2410 to 2803 of the family's 2925-position model. RNAcentral also lists the same sequence under 1 other name. Lineage: Bacteria; Pseudomonadati; Pseudomonadota; Gammaproteobacteria; Enterobacterales; Enterobacteriaceae. The record is from RNAcentral.
UCAUAGUGAUCCGGUGGUUCUGAAUGGAAGGGCCAUCGCUCAACGGAUAAAAGGUACUCCGGGGAUAACAGGCUGAUACCGCCCAAGAGUUCAUAUCGACGGCGGUGUUUGGCACCUCGAUGUCGGCUCAUCACAUCCUGGGGCUGAAGUAGGUCCCAAGGGUAUGGCUGUUCGCCAUUUAAAGUGGUACGCGAGCUGGGUUUAGAACGUCGUGAGACAGUUCGGUCCCUAUCUGCCGUGGGCGCUGGAGAACUGAGGGGGGCUGCUCCUAGUACGAGAGGACCGGAGUGGACGCAUCACUGGUGUUCGGGUUGUCAUGCCAAUGGCACUGCCCGGUAGCUAAAUGCGGAAGAGAUAAGUGCUGAAAGCAUCUAAGCACGAAACUUGCCCCGAG